UACGUAGGGUGCGAGCGUUAAUCGGAAUUACUGGGCGUAAAGAGCUCGUAGGCGGCUUGUCACGUCUGCUGUGAAAACUCGGGGCUCAACCCCGAGCCUGCAGUGGAUACGGGCUAGCUAGAGUGCGGUAGGGGAGACUGGAAUUCCUGGUGUAGCGGUGAAAUGCGCAGAUAUCAGGAGGAACACCGGUGGCGAAGGCGGGUCUCUGGACCGAUACUGACGCUGAGGAGCGAAAGCGUGGGGAGCGAACAGG
RNAcentral lists this ribosomal RNA (253 nucleotides) under uncultured bacterium. RNAcentral's name for it is "partial 16S ribosomal RNA". It matches the Rfam family "Bacterial small subunit ribosomal RNA", at positions 524 to 776 of the family's 1533-position model. The record is from RNAcentral.